CACAUCCCGCCAGGAGAGAGCUUCUCCAGGGAAGCCGCCGAAGGCGCAGGCAGCAGCCGAACGCUCAGGCAAAAGGACUGGCGACACGCC
Molecule: non-coding RNA, 90 nt
Filed under: Acidovorax sp. MR-S7
Lineage: Bacteria; Pseudomonadati; Pseudomonadota; Betaproteobacteria; Burkholderiales; Comamonadaceae
Also listed under: 1 other name
Description: Glycine riboswitch aptamer
Rfam family: Glycine riboswitch aptamer
About the family: This family represents the bacterial glycine riboswitch. Glycine riboswitches usually consist of two metabolite-binding aptamers domains with similar structures in tandem.
Source: Rfam by way of RNAcentral